This 478-nucleotide ribosomal RNA is filed under the name uncultured organism. RNAcentral's name for it is "partial 16S ribosomal RNA". It matches the Rfam family "Bacterial small subunit ribosomal RNA", at positions 332 to 801 of the family's 1533-position model. The record is from RNAcentral.
UACACUCCUGCGGGAGGCAGCAGUGGGGAAUAUUGCACAAUGGGCGCAAGCCUGAUGCAGCCAUGCCGCGUGUGUGAAGAAGGCCUUCGGGUUGUAAAGCACUUUCAGCGGGGAGGAAGGCGAUACGGUUAAUAACCGUGUUGAUUGACGUUACCCGCAGAAGAAGCACCGGCUAACUCCGUGCCAGCAGCCGCGGUAAUACGGAGGGUGCAAGCGUUAAUCGGAAUUACUGGGCGUAAAGCGCACGCAGGCGGUCUGUCAAGUCGGAUGUGAGAUCCCCGGGCUCAACCUGGGAACUGCAUUCGAAACUGGCAGGCUUGAGUCUUGUAGAGGGGGGUAGAAUUCCAGGUGUAGCGGUGAAAUGCGUAGAGAUCUGGAGGAAUACCGGUGGCGAAGGCGGCCCCCUGGACAAAGACUGACGCUCAGGUGCGAAAGCGUGGGGAGCAAACAGGAUUAGAAACCCCAGUAGUCCCAUGAU